UCUGUCAGUAUACAGUGGGGCAAAAAAGUAUUUAGUCAGCCACCAAUUGUGCAAGUUCUCCUACUUAAAGAUGAGGCCUGUAAUUUUCAUCGUAGGUACACUUCAACUAUGACAGACAAAAUGAGAAAAAAAAAUCCAGAAAAUCACAUUGUAGGAUUUUUAAUAUUUAUUUGCAAAUUAUGGUGGAAAAUAAGUAUUUGGACAAUAACAAAAGUUUAUUUCAAUACUUUGUUAUAUACCCUUUGUUGGCAAUGACAGAGGUCAAAUGUUUUCUGUAAGUCUUCACUAGGUUUUCACACACUGUUGCUGGUAUUUUGGCCCAUUCCUCCAUGCAGAUUUCCUCUAGAGCAGUGAUGUUUUGGGGCUGUUGCUGGGCAACACAGACUUUCAACUCCCUCCAAAGAUUUUCUAUGGGGUUGAGAUCUGGAGACUGGCAAGGCCACUCCAGGACCUUGAAAUGCUUCUUACGAAGCAACUCCUUCGUUGCCCGGGCGGUGUGUUUGAGAUCAUUGUCAUGCUGAAAGACCCAGCCACGUUUCAUCUUCAAUGCCCUGGCUGAUGGAAUGAGGUUUUCACUCAAUCUCACGAUACAUGGCCCCAUUCUUUCCUUUACACGGAUCAGUUGUCCUGGUCCCUUUGCAGAAAAACAGCCCCAAAGCAUGUUUCCACCCCCAUGCUUCACAGUAGGUAUGCAUUCUUUGUCCUCCAAACAUGACGAGUUGAGUUUUUACCAAAAAGUUAUAUUUUGGUUUCAUCUGACCAUAUGACAUUCUCCCAAUCUUCUUCUGGAUCAUCCAAAUGCUCUCUAUCAAAUUUAAGACGGGCCUGGACAUGUACUGGCUUAAGCAGGGGGACACGUCUGGCACUGCAGGAUUUGAGUCCCUGGCGGCGUAGUGUGUUACUGACGGUAGGCUUUGUUACCUUUUGCAGGUCAUUCACUAGGUCCCCCCGUGUGGUUCUGGGGUGAGAUCUUGCGUGGAGCCCCAGAUCGAGGGAGAUUAUCAGUGGUCUUGUAUGUCUUCCAUUUCCUAAUGUUUGCUCCCACAGUUGAUUUCUUCAAACCAAGCUGCUUACCUAUUGCAGAUUCAGUCUACAAUUUUUGACAGCUCUUUGGUCUUGGCCAUAGUGGAGUUUGGAGUGUGACUGUUUGAGGUUGUGGACAGUUGUCUUUUAUACUGAUAACAAGUUCAAACAGGUGCCAUUAAUACAGGUAACGAGUGGAGGACAGAGGAGCCUCUUAAAGAAGAAGUUACAGGUCUGUGAGAGCCAGAAAUCUUGUUUGUAGGUGACCAAAUACUUAUUUUCCACCAUAAUUUGCAAAUAAAUUAAUAAAAAAUCCUACAAUGUGAUUUUCUGGAUAUUUUUUAGUAGAAGUGUACCUAUGAUGAAAAUUACAGGCCUCAUAUUUUUAAGUGGGAGAACUUGCACAAUUGGUGGCUGACUAAAUACUUUUUUACCCCACUGUAUAUUGAGUUGUAUUCAUUUUUAGGAUACAGUAGUAUAAAAGGGUUGUAUGUUAGUCCCAUCACUCCACAAUACACAACACAAUAAUUCAAUAAUGAUAAUUCAACACAAUCUUUUUUUUUAAUGUAGGGAGAUGAGCAAGGCACUCAACCCCAAAUUUACCCCUCCCUCCAGGAGUUACCGCAGUGACACAUUCAUUCUAUCUGGUGUAGAAAAGGCCAAUGUGAUGACUGAGCUGAAGGACGUGCCAAAGCUGGCCAUCACAUCAGACAGGUGGACCAGCCUCUGUCAGGACCACUGUCUCACUGUUCCAGUGCACUACACAAGACAGGGCAGUGUAAAACAGAAGGUCCUCCGCACCAGGGCAGUGUAAAACAGAAGGUCCUCCGCACCAGGGCAGUGUAAAACAGAAGGUCCUCCGCACCAGGGCAGUGUAAAACAGAAGGUCCUCCGCACCAGGGCAGUGUAAAACAGAAGGUCCUCCGCACCAGGGCAGUGUAAAACAGAAGGUCCUCCGCACCAGGGCAGUGUAAAACAGAAGGUCCUCCGCACCAGGGCAGUGUAAAACAGAAGGUCCUCCGCACCAGGGCAGUGUAAAACAGAAGGUCCUCCGCACCAGGGCAGUGUAAAACAGAAGGUCCUCCGCACCAGGGCAGUGUAAAACAGAAGGUCCUCCGCACCAGGGCAGUGUAAAACAGAAGGUCCUCCGCACCAGGGCAGUGUAAAACAGAAGGUCCUCCGCACCAGGGCAGUGUAAAACAGAAGGUCCUCCGCACCAGGGCAGUGUAAAACAGAAGGUCCUCCGCACCAGGGCAGUGUAAAACAGAAGGUUGUUGUUCUGGGAUUUGAUUUGCACUUUUCGCGCUGAAGUACAUUCAUCUCUAGGAGACAGAACAUGUCUCCUUCCUGAGCGGAAUGACGGCUGCGUCGUCCCAUGGUGUUUAUACUUGCAUACUAUUGUUUGUACAGAUGAACGUGGUACCUUCAGGUGUUUGGAAAUUGCUCCCAAGGACGAACCAGACUUGUGGAAGUCUACAAUUUUUUUUUUUUCUGAGGUCUUGGCUGAUUUCUUUUGAUUUUCCUAUGAUGUCAAGCAAAGAGGCACUGAGUUUGAAGGGAGGCCUUGAAAUACAUCCACAGGUACACCUCCAAUUGACUAAAAUAAUGUCAAUUAGCCUAGCAGAAGCUUAUAAAGCCAUGACAUCAUUUUCUGGAAUUUUCCAAGCUGUUUAAAGGCACAGUCAACUUAGUGUAUGUAAACUUCUGACCCACUGGAAUUGUGAUACAGUGAAAUAAUAUGUCUGUAAACAAUUGUUGGAAAAAUGACUUGUCGUGCACAAAGUAGAUGUCCUAACCGACUUGCCAAAACUAUAGUUUGUUAACAAGACAUUUGUGCAGUGGUUGAAAAACGAGUUUUAAUGAUUCCAACCUAAGUGUAUGUAAACUUCCGACUUCAACUGUAUAUAUUAUAAUUCUUUGCCUUAAUUACUCUAAAAUAUAGACUCUUACCUUUCAUUUGA
This is a long non-coding RNA of Oncorhynchus keta (chum salmon), 2984 nucleotides long. RefSeq lists it as uncharacterized. Lineage: Eukaryota; Metazoa; Chordata; Actinopteri; Salmoniformes; Salmonidae. The transcript is spliced from 2 exons. The record is from RefSeq and is a predicted model, not a curated record.